RNAcentral lists this ribosomal RNA (230 nucleotides) under uncultured bacterium. Its description in RNAcentral is "partial 16S ribosomal RNA". It matches the Rfam family "Bacterial small subunit ribosomal RNA", at positions 562 to 791 of the family's 1533-position model. The record is from RNAcentral.
AAAGCGUGCGCAGGCGGUUUUGUAAGACUGUCGUGAAAUCCCCGGGCUCAACCUGGGAAUGGCGAUGGUGACUGCAUGGCUAGAGUUUGGCAGAGGGGGGUAGAAUUCCACGUGUAGCAGUGAAAUGCGUAGAUAUGUGGAGGAACACCGAUGGCGAAGGCAGCCCCCUGGGUCAAAACUGACGCUCAUGCACGAAAGCGUGGGGAGCAAACAGGAUUAGAUACCCGUGU